Long non-coding RNA from Gasterosteus aculeatus (three-spined stickleback), 3972 nucleotides. The record is from Ensembl. NCBI's taxonomy places the organism in Eukaryota, Metazoa, Chordata, Actinopteri, Perciformes, Gasterosteidae.
AUGUUGUUCCGCUCACGUUUCCAACUUGAAGGAAAAUCCUGUGAGAACGGCUGGAGGAAGUUCGAUAUAAGCUGUUACUUUAUUUCCACUGAGGGGAAGACGUGGAUGUCAAGCAGAACAGACUGCAUUUCGAAAAGAGCAGAUCUGGUCAUAAUAGACAGCAGGGAGGAACAGGUGAGAGAAAGAAAGAAUUAACUGGAUGAGAUCAAAAUCAUUUUGUUAACUCAGGAAACUGCAACUACAACUAGGGGCGCAUAUGACGCAAAACAUCCACAGCAUCUCAAGUAACGCCAGUCGAUGGUCCGGUUGAAGGGCGGGGCUGCGUGUGGACCCUCCCCCGGCUCAAUCCGGUGAUAUUUUUAACAUUUCUCUCUGCAUUUUUACAACAUUCCAACACUGCACUGAAUAUAGUACAUUAAAGUUUAGGGUAAUUGUAUUAUUUAACGACACACGGAUACUAAAUAUUAAGGGGUUCCUCUUUCUCCUAUAAAAAAUUAAUUGUCCAAAUACACCAAGUAAAUAACCAGAGUUAUUACACUUUUUAUCAUGGGUGGGCCAUUUUUGGAGCAGAGGCUUAAAAACAGCCUCAGGGGGGAAAAGGUACGUUCCCGGCUUGCUCCACCGAAUGGAUCUCUUGGUGAUUCUUUACUACUGGAUUUUGUAUUUGUUGCACCUUUUUGAGUUCCCCCGUCAUGAUGGUUGUCUUUGUUGUGGACAUGUUGGUUCAUGAAAAUUUACUGUCUGUUUCCCUGUGUCUCCCUGCUUUUGUGUUGAUCCAAAGCCACCUGGAAAUCUGUUUUUCACCAAAGCAAAAAUACACUAAGUGAGGAAAUGUGGUGGAAAGCUUUGAAUACAGUAGAAAUUGGAGAGGAAGAAACAUCUCUUACAUUAAAUAAAAAGUGAAGAACUAGGAAACAGUAAGUGAAAUAUUUUAUUGCUUUACUCUCUGUGCUCCACUAACAGGAAUUUGUCAACAGCUUAAUGGCGACCAAACAUUGUGCCUGGAUCGGAAUGACUGACAGGGAUGAAGAGGGGACGUGGAAGUGGGUGGAUGGGACUCCAGUCAACACAACGUACUGGGAGGCCGGCCAGCCUGACGACUGGUUUGGGAAGGAGGACUGCGGAGAAACUCGACUGUUGAUAAGAGAGGAAGAGUGGAACGAUGACGACUGUUCUGCUUCACACAUCUACAUCUGCGAACAAUAAAAUUACAAAGAAAUACUGACUAGAAUACCUAUUGUGUAUUAAUCCACAGCUGAAAAUAGUCCCCAGCAUACGUACACACCAUUCACUCCAGUUUUAGGGACUUUUGCUACAACAAUUCCAACUUUGUAUUUUUUUAAAAGAAAACCUCUGUUGUACUUAUUAAGAGAAAUAAUUUUAUCAUUUUAUUUCUUUUUGCUUUUGAACGGAGGUUAACCUAUUUGGUAGGCCAGUGACAUGUCAAUAACAGUAGCCCAGCCCUAAAGCAUACUUUUAUUAAUGGUCAACUCUUUAACUCUACUGCACUAAAUGAACAUCAUGCAGUAUUGAAGGCAAUUUGAAACCAGAGAUUUAGACCAUUAACUAAUGUUUACAAUGUUUACUAAGGGAAUAAAUCAAUGGAGAAGUAAAGCUAUUCUCUCAUAGACUUCUAUAGGACCAGAGGAGUCGCCCCCUGCUGGCCAGUAAAUAGAAUGCAAGUUUAAGACACUUCACUCUUAAUAAUUGGAGGUGCCCCCCCUGGUACUAUUUCACACUAUCUCAGUUGCUCUGAGCGUGUAAUGAAAACACGCCUGUGCGUUGGAGUUAAUUAACAAUGCAUUUGGAUUUGGUCGUGCAUGUAGACUUUUCAGCCUUCAGUUAUAAAUAAAUAAUAAAUUCCAUCCUGUCUUAUUUCUUCUUCCAUUAUUUUACUGCUCUGGAUACAAAGUCCUUCAAAAUAUAUAAGGAGUCCAUUCAGUGUUAAUUGCUGUGCAAUGUUUCUCAGUAAAACUAAAACAUGCAAUAACUAAUCUGUUAGUGUAACGUUUCAUCUGGCACCAUCAUUAGGUCGACAUUUUAGUUUUUCUAAUACUUUUGAUUUGGCUAAAUACCAAGAAGCGUAUUUUUCCAAUCAGAAUGCAUUUAGCCCUAUUUGAUUACUCCUGGUAUGCUGGCAAAGAAAGCUAAGAUAUUAAACACAAACAGUUGACCCGUUCAGACAGACUGCCGGGGACGCCCAUCACCUCCGUUCUGGCACUGAGGCUUUAUUACAUUUGACGAGGGCUGAUCCACAAUAAUCCAUUUCGGUAACAAAGAACGUCAUUCAGCAGCAACAAGGCAUCAGUAACAGAUAACGCUCUUACAAACAAAGGCCCCGUUUAGAGUGGUGAAAUUAUCUUCACACAAUCAGACACGACAAAAAGACAUUCUUAUUUCAUUGCUCAGAUCAGAUAAAAGAUUUUUCCAUGUGUGUAAUUCUGUGGCUUUAAUACUCCUCCAACCUCAGAGGUUUAGCCUCAAAGCAAGCGCAACAAAGCAGUGUUUGCAUUGUAGAAAUUUGAAAUAUGACUUAGGACAUAAAAACACUGACUUGACCUCAGUGAGAAGUUAAUUUGUGGGAAAAGAGAAGAGAAACUUUAGAAAGUCCGGAUCCUAAAAGAGAAAAUGACUUUUGAAAAGAAAAACAAACUGGUCACUUCCAGCUUGGAAUCAUUUGGCCGAAAAUGAUCUGACAUGCAAGUCAAGGGACUGACCAACCAGGGUCAAACAUUUAGAUGACAUGGCUAAAAGGAGCAUCCUGUUUCUCCCCCAUAAAUAACGAGGCCAUUACCUUCAUUUAUUUGGCGGUUGGUGGUUGUAAGCCUCUUGAUAUGCAUGCAGUCGUAUUGAUGGAAGGUAAGUUCAUUAUAGAUUUGGUCUCAAUCCUUGUCGAUGAUUUAAAAUGUAGAUUUUUCGCAUAAAUGUCACAUCUUACUGGACUCAACACAUGUGAAUAAAAAAUGUACGCAAGUACGAGUAAGCUAAAAUAAUUACUCUCAGCCUUCUUCUGAAUAAUGAGUUUAAACAUUUUUUAAAAGCUUCAACAUUUUUAAAUAUGUCUCUUCAGCAGGACAAUCUGAACAUUAUUAGAAUGGAUGCGAUGGAAAUUGAUGACAGCAUUUAUAUAAAAAAGAACUUCGCAAUGGACGGCCUCGGUAGUCAAGGUACAAUAUCACCCUGAAUUAAAAUGGACGAAUGUCCACAGCCAAGUGCUACUAAAGUGUUUAACAAUCAAGAUUUUCAAAAAUAAUGUUUUUCAUGUAAAUUCCAUUUUUGCUUUGUAUUAACAAAGAUUUAGAAAUUUGGAUUUUCAAAAAUCCAUAAGGAGGAAUUUACACUUAACUGCUUUCUUACUUUGGAUUUAGUUGUUUUUCCGAGGAGAAAGCAGCCCUUUCGAUGUGCUACCGUGUGUCUGGGGUUACUGAGUGCUGUCCUGUUGGCUGGUAACAUAGCGCAGUUUGUCUACUGUAAGUAAAUCUAUUGUUGUCACGCAAAGUACGAAUGAUGUGGAAUGCAAACCAUGUGAGAGGAAUGAGCUUUUCAAAAGCUAAUGACCUAAGCAAUUAUUAAAAAUGUCUUUUGCAUCUCUCAGAUGAGAUAAUCAGCCGCCCCGCUUCAGCAGAGCCGACACAGGCCAGCGGCCGGUUUCAAGGAGACCGACUGCAGGGCGGUUGUGAUGCUUCAGCUGCAGAAAGACAACAGUUGGAGGCCAAACUGAGUAACCUGACUGAAGAUAAAGGCCAACUGCAGCAGAGUUACUCAGCUUUGACUGCUGAAAGGGAUGAGUUCAAGGCCAGUUUCAGCAAUCUGAGAAACAAGAGUGACCAGUUACAAGCAAGUUACAACACCUUAAAAGAAGAGCGCGAUCAGUUGAAGACGAGCUAUGACGACAUGCAAAAGAGUCUUAAUGAGCUACAGGCGGAUCACAAGACCCUUCAAGCAACUAAAGACCAGCUACAGACCAACUAC